RNAcentral lists this ribosomal RNA (253 nucleotides) under uncultured bacterium. RNAcentral's name for it is "partial 16S ribosomal RNA". It matches the Rfam family "Bacterial small subunit ribosomal RNA", at positions 524 to 776 of the family's 1533-position model. The record is from RNAcentral.
UACGAAGGGUGCAAGCGUUACUCGGAAUCAUUGGGCGUAAAGCGCGCGUAGGCGGCUCGGUAAGUCCGUUGUGAAAGUCAAAGGCUCAACCUUUGAAAGCCGAUGGAUACUGCCGGGCUAGAGUCCGGAAGAGGCGAGUGGAAUUCCUGGUGUAGCGGUGGAAUGCGCAGAUAUCAGGAGGAACACCGAUAGCGAAGGCAGCUCGCUGGGACGGUACUGACGCUAAGGCGCGAAAGCGUGGGGAGCGAACAGG